This 497-nucleotide ribosomal RNA is filed under the name uncultured bacterium. RNAcentral describes it as "partial 16S ribosomal RNA". It matches the Rfam family "Bacterial small subunit ribosomal RNA", at positions 28 to 507 of the family's 1533-position model. The record is from RNAcentral.
GAUGAACGCUGGCGGCGUGCCUAAUACAUGCAAGUCGAGCGAACAGACGAGGAGCUUGCUCCUCUGACGUUAGCGGCGGACGGGUGAGUAACACGUGGAUAACCUACCUAUAAGACUGGGAUAACUUCGGGAAACCGGAGCUAAUACCGGAUAAUAUAUUGUACCGCAUGGUUCAAUAGUGAAAGACGGUUUUGCUGUCACUUAUAGAUGGAUCCGCGCCGCAUUAGCUAGUUGGUAAGGUAACGGCUUACCAAGGCGACGAUGCGUAGCCGACCUGAGAGGGUGAUCGGCCACACUGGAACUGAGACACGGUCCAGACUCCUACGGGAGGCAGCAGUAGGGAAUCUUCCGCAAUGGGCGAAAGCUUGACGGAGCAACGCCGCGUGAGUGAUGAAGGUCUUCGGAUCGUAAAACUCUGUUAUUAGGGAAGAACAAAUGUGUAAGUAACUAUGCACGUCUUGACGGUACCUAAUCAGAAAGCCACGGCUAACUACGUG